AAUUGUAUGGAAUAUUUUUACAUUUCACCAGCAUCCAUCAAUCUCGUACUUUUGGUAAACAUUUCCAUCAUCUCCUAUUUCAGAAAUUCUGUACUUUCAGGCACUAGGUUUACUAAAUACCACAUCUGCCUAUUUACUCAAAUGAUGUCCUUUACUUAAAGCCUUUUUGCAUUAUCCAGUUUUCCUGAUAGUUUGUAUAGAUGAUUGCCUGAAUUUCUCAAAAAGCAAGCUUCCCUUAAGCGUCAAAAUUAUUUUUAUUUCUUUGCAGUAAUUUCAAUUUACGUUUCAGUCCUUGCUUACAUUUUGGGAGACCCAGCUAUCUGCCAAAGCCUGAAGGCACAGAAGGUUUAUUCUCAUCAAUGUCCUUUCUACAUCAGCAUUCAGGGCUAGUGGCUGUCAUUUUUCGUGAUGAUUUUAUGGUUUUUAUAACCUCUUUGUUACAUGAUUUUAGGAUAACUUUCUAUAUGAAUGAGACUAUCCUAUAUCUUCUUCCCUUUCAUCCCAUUCUAGAUAUACUGUGAGUUCUAAAAAAUUACACUUGCCCAAACUCACUGUUUUCUUGGUACCUGGUUGUCAUUUGUACCACUUCAAGUAAUCAUCCUUUUUCUUUGUUUUGUUUUGUUUUGUUUUGUUUUUUAUUUGAGACGGAGUCUCGCUCUGUCGCCCAGGCUGGAGUGCAGUGGUGCAAUCUCCGCCUCCCGGGUUCACGCCAUUCUCCUGCCUCAGCCUCCCGAGUAGCUGGGACUACAGGCGCCCGCCACCACGCCCACCUAAUUUUUUGUAUUUUUAGUGGAGACAGGGUUUCACCGUGUUAGCCAGGAAGGUCUUGAUCUCCUGACCUCGUGAUCCUCCCGCCUUGGCCUCCCAAAGUGCUGGGAUUACAGGCGUGAGCCACCGCGCCCGGCCCGUAAUCAUCCUUUUUCUUAAGGUACAGAUUCCAGCACUGAGAUGAGUUCUCUGGUUGUACUUUGUCAAUAGUUUUCUCAUCGCUAGUU
RNAcentral lists this long non-coding RNA (995 nucleotides) under Homo sapiens (human). RNAcentral's name for it is "non-protein coding lnc-SFTPB-2:1". The record is from RNAcentral. Lineage: Eukaryota; Metazoa; Chordata; Mammalia; Primates; Hominidae.